Molecule: ribosomal RNA, 245 nt
Filed under: uncultured bacterium
Lineage: Bacteria
Description: partial 16S ribosomal RNA
Rfam family: Bacterial small subunit ribosomal RNA
Source: RNAcentral
UACAGAGGUGGCAAGCGUUGUUCGGAUUUAUUGGGCGUAAAGGGUCCGUAGGCGGCCUGAAAAGUUGGAUGUGAAAUCCCACAGCUUAACUGUGGAACUGCAUUCAAAACUCUCAGGCUCGAGUGUGAUAGGGGUAAAGGGAAUUCCCGGUGUAAGGGUGAAAUCUGCAGAGAUCGGGAGGAACACCAGUCGCGAAGGCGCUUUACUGGAUCACUACUGACGCUGAGGGACGAAAGCCAGGGGAG